AUUGAACGCUGGCGGCGUGCCUAACACAUGCAAGUCGAGCGGUAACAGGUGUAGCAAUACAUGCUGACGAGCGGCGAACGGGUGAGUAAUGCUUCGGAAUCUACCCAAUGGUGGGGAAUAACCAGCCGAAAGGUUGGCUAAUACCGCAUACGUCCCACGGGAGAAAGCAGGGGAUCGCAAGACCUUGCGCCAAUGGAUGAGCCGAAGUCGGAUUAGCUAGUGGUAGGGUAACGGCCUACCAAGGCGACGAUCCGUAGCUGGUCUGAGAGGACGACCAGCCACACUGGGACUGAGACACGGCCCAGACUCCUACGGGAGGCAGCAGUGGGGAAUAUUGGACAAUGGGGGAAACCCUGAUCCAGCGACGCCGCGUGUGUGAAGAAGGCCUGCGGGUUGUAAAGCACUUUUAGUGGGGAUGAAAUGUUCAGGGUUAACACCUCUGGAUUUUGACCUAACCCACAGAAAAGCACCGGCUAACUCUGUGCCAGCAGCCGCCGUAAU
This 501-nucleotide ribosomal RNA is filed under the name uncultured bacterium. RNAcentral's name for it is "bacterial SSU rRNA". It matches the Rfam family "Bacterial small subunit ribosomal RNA", at positions 30 to 524 of the family's 1533-position model. The record is from RNAcentral.